Molecule: ribosomal RNA, 222 nt
Filed under: uncultured bacterium
Lineage: Bacteria
Description: partial 16S ribosomal RNA
Rfam family: Bacterial small subunit ribosomal RNA
Source: RNAcentral
CGGACGUGGAUAACCUGCCUCACACAGGGGAGUAACAGUUGGAAACGGCUGCUAAUACCGCAUAAGCGCACAGCACCGCAUGGUGCAGUGUGAAAAACUCCGGUGGUGUGAGAUGGAUCCGCGUCUGAUUAGCUUGUUGGCGGGGUAACGGCCCACCAAGGCGACGAUCAGUAGCCGGCCUGAGAGGGCGACCGGCCACAUUGGGACUGAGACACGGCCCAG